CAUGCUAGUCUGGAGCUGGUUGAAUCUGGGCCAAAUUGGAGUGUUGAAUGGCAUUUGGUCCCCUUCAAUCAGUUGUAGCUAGCUGACAAA
This is a non-coding RNA of Biomphalaria pfeifferi, 90 nucleotides long. The record is from the annotation of a GenBank genome assembly. Lineage: Eukaryota; Metazoa; Mollusca; Gastropoda; Planorbidae.